UACGUAGGGGGCAAGCGUUGUCCGGAUUUAUUGGGCGUAAAGAGCGUGUAGGCGGCUAGAUAGGUCCGUUGUGAAAACUCGAGGCUCAACCUCGAGACGCCGAUGGAAACCCUCUAGCUAGAGUCCGGAAGAGGAGAGUGGAAUUCCCGGUGUAGCGGUGAAAUGCGUAGAGAUCGGGAGGAACACCAGAGGCGAAAGCGGCGACCUAGACAGGCACUGACACUCAACUACGAAAGCGUGGGGAGCAAACAGG
This 253-nucleotide ribosomal RNA is filed under the name uncultured bacterium. Its description in RNAcentral is "partial 16S ribosomal RNA". It matches the Rfam family "Bacterial small subunit ribosomal RNA", at positions 524 to 776 of the family's 1533-position model. The record is from RNAcentral.